UCGAACGGGCCUCGUAUAUCUGUUGCUUCCUAUCGCGGUUAAUCCGGCAUGGAUAUAGCAUGGAAAAGCUGUGUGUAAUACACCCAAUCGGGGCCAGACUGAGGGCCGCCUAGACAAGGGCCCCAGCAAAAAAGGACCCUGGCACGAUGGAUCCUGCCCCAUUAACAGCUCCCAUAGUACUUCGGCCGAGGAUGAGCCUUCUCAGGCACGGACAGUCAGGCCCUAGGAAACGGAGGCCUCCGCGAUCCCCGGUAAGCCCCUCCUCGACUCGGCUCCCACGUCUGGGCUGGGCAGGCUUGUAUCCAGGGUACAGCAGAGACUAACCACAAGCGCGCGAAGGGCUUCAGACCUAUCAGCUUGAUGGCAGGGUAUUGGCCUGCCAUGGCUAUGACGGGUACAGAGGAUUAGGGUUUGAUCCUGGAGAGGUAGCCUGAGAAAUCGCUCCCACUUCUAAGGAAGGAGCCAGGCGCGA
Molecule: ribosomal RNA, 472 nt
Filed under: Lycogala sp.
Lineage: Eukaryota; Evosea; Eumycetozoa; Liceales; Enteridiidae
Description: partial small subunit ribosomal RNA
Rfam family: Eukaryotic small subunit ribosomal RNA
Source: RNAcentral